AACGAACGCUGGCGGCAUGCCUAACACAUGCAAGUCGAACGAGACCUUCGGGUAUAGUGGCGCACGGGUGCGUAACGCGUGGGAACCUGCCCUUAGGUUCGGAAUAACUCCCCGCAAGGGGUGCUAAUACCGGAUAAUGUCUUCGGACCAAAGAUUUAUCGCCUUUGGAUGGGCCCGCGUUGGAUUAGCUAGUUGGUAGGGUAAAAGCCUACCAAGGCGACGAUCCAUAGCUGGUCUGAGAGGAUGAUCAGCCACACUGGGACUGAGACACGGCCCAGACUCCUACGGGAGGCAGCAGUGGGGAAUAUUGGACAAUGGGCGAAAGCCUGAUCCAGCAAUGCCGCGUGAGUGAUGAAGGCCUUAGGGUUGUAAAGCUCUUUUACCCGGGAUGAUAAUGACAGUACCGGGAGAAUAAGCUCCGGCUAACUCCGUG
Molecule: ribosomal RNA, 433 nt
Filed under: uncultured bacterium
Lineage: Bacteria
Description: partial 16S ribosomal RNA
Rfam family: Bacterial small subunit ribosomal RNA
Source: RNAcentral